This is a long non-coding RNA of Amphiprion ocellaris (clown anemonefish), 1921 nucleotides long. RefSeq lists it as uncharacterized. The record is from RefSeq and is a predicted model, not a curated record. The transcript is spliced from 3 exons. NCBI's taxonomy places the organism in Eukaryota, Metazoa, Chordata, Actinopteri, Pomacentridae.
AAUGUUUCCUUCAGCUAAAUCAUUCCCUAAAAUGAACGAGACACCACUGAUUGGGCUCUCAGUACGGUCAUCCCAAUACCCCACACUAACAAAUCAGAACCAGACGAAGUCUCAUUGGACAGUGGCAGGACAUCACCUAACAUCAUCGAAUGAUAGGCUGCCGUAUCACGGAGGAUUGUUAUCUGCACCUUUUCUUUUCCCUCUGGUCACAGAAACAAAGCCCUCUGUAACGAAAGGCUGAAAACGAGCAUCAUUGUCAGAGAUUUUACACUCAGAAUGCACAGAAUGCACUUCAGGAGAAGUCACAGUUUUUAUUAGACACACGCCAGCAGGCGGUUUGUUAGGUUUAGACUGACCUUUCUUUUUUAGAGCAGGACAGACUGCGAUUAAAUGACCCAGCUCAUGGCAGUAAUAACACUCGCUGCUGUCACCAGCAACCGUGGGAAUAUUUCUCCAUGCAAGCUUCGGUGGUCGGUUUCUCCGUUCAGACACAACAGUUGGUCCACGCGAUGACUGUGGAGAAAAUACACUUUUAUGAGUCAAAAUAAACUCAUCAGCUAAGACGGCUGUGUAACCCAGAUGAAAACAGUAGUAUAGCUGUCGUUCUCCUGCAUUAUUUUGGCCUUAUUGGGGUUCGGCCAAUCCCAGUAGUCGCGGUGACGUCAUUACGUUGUUCCCCUCAGCGCGCUGUUUUGUAAUUAGCGGCUGCAGCAUUCAGGCGUGCAGGAGCGGUGGGGAAGCCACACACGAGAGAGCUGCAGGAGCCCCUUAUCGUAGCCAAAUCAGAGACGGACGACGGAGUGAGAGAGUAGAUGCAAAUCGUGGAACUGGCCAGGUCCUUGAUUGAUGGCGAGCUUAAUGGAGCCCUGAACCUAAAGCAAAGCAACUGCUGAAGAACUGAGUCGCACCUCUCCUGCCAGGCUGGUAGGGGGCUCUUUGUGGCCCACAAACUCUCCCCACUCAAAACCUUGAAUUGUCCGCCUUGUCCACAUACAAUCUUUUUUUCCACAAACCCCUCCUAUGCGCACUUUUCCUCCUGGACAAUCACAUUCAACCCAGACGUGGGUUACAUGAACUGUGGGUUGGGUUGGUACAUUGGAGUCAAUUUCCCAAGUGUUGGGAAUUUUGUGGACUCAUUGGCGCUUUGCAUUGACAUUCGAAUUGUAUAUCAAUGUUUCUGAGUCAUGUCCUGAAGUUGCAUAGUUAAUGAAUUAUUUUGAAUAUUCAUUAUUGAAUGGCCAUUUAUGAGUUACUGUUUGUUAUUCACUGUAAAUAUUUGCACUGUUGGCUGUCUUGUAUGUUUAAAGAAAUAUUCAAUAUAUGGUACCUGCAAAUACAAAAUCAGCUUCCUGUCUACUCUCUCCUUGAGCCGAAUUUAGUCUUCUGAGUACUAGCCUAACGAACCUAACUACUUCUGGUGUUAGUAAACCAAUUCUUUACUACUUACCUACUACACAGGUGUUACAGCUGCAUUUGUGACUUUCUUUUCAUUCAGAUUUACAAAUUAUAGAAAUUUGAUGUAAAUUCCUCUAGCAGUAUUAACUCACACAUCUCUUCCAGAGAUUUCACAUUACAGUCUUGACACCACUUGUCAAACUAAAAGCUUUUCUCGCACACAAGUUCUACGUAGUUCUUGCUGGCAUUUUUUUCACGGCUUCUAAAUUUUUGUCUAUAUGCCUCACUAACUAGAGAGGUAAGGCUUUGUUGUUCUUUUUAAAACUUUGUUUUGGCAGGUCAGUUUUGGUUAAUAGAUUAGUGGCGUUUUGUUUGUUGUUUUUGCCCACUGUCGAUUUUAGUUACCCAUCACCAUUGUUACGGUUCACAGAUUUAUUGUAAAUAAACACAUACAUUACAUGAGAGAAUGUGUGUUGUAGCGGAUUGGGACCAGGGGAAGGAUGCCUCUUCAUGUUUCACCCAGUGA